GGUCCGCUGGCGUAAUGGCAGCGCGUCUGACUACGAUUCAGUAUCGAUAUCAGGAGGUUCCAGGUUCGACCCCUGGGCGGAUCG
This 84-nucleotide transfer RNA is filed under the name Cercophora samala. It matches the Rfam family "tRNA". From Rfam's summary of the family: Transfer RNA (tRNA) molecules are approximately 80 nucleotides in length. Their secondary structure includes four short double-helical elements and three loops (D, anti-codon, and T loops). Lineage: Eukaryota; Fungi; Ascomycota; Sordariomycetes; Sordariales; Lasiosphaeriaceae. The record is from Rfam by way of RNAcentral.